CAAUUCUCCUGCUCUUGUGACCCUUCUCAUUUGAUUCCAAAGAAAGGAGCCGUGCAACCUUUUGGGCCUAGCAUUUUGUCAAAUAAAUGGAGGGCUUUCAUACAGACGUGAUAACAUAGUGAUACAAUACAAUCAUUCUUAGACUGCUAAGCUUCUCUUCAAAUUUUGUAAUUCGUAGUUCCAACUGCCAUGAUGCAACCCCAUAUGAAUCCCCUACAAUAGCAUCAAGAGCAACAAUAUGCACACAAACAAAAAUGCACUUUGAGCAGAACCAUGGCUAGCUUGCCUGGCACAACCUCCAGCUUUGUCCAUCACAGCCCGGAUGAGGAAAUGCUUUAUAGAU
Molecule: long non-coding RNA, 343 nt
Organism: Rhododendron vialii
Lineage: Eukaryota; Viridiplantae; Streptophyta; Magnoliopsida; Ericales; Ericaceae
Exons: 2
Source: RefSeq, a predicted model, not a curated record